UCCGAUAUGGGUGUCAGGAAAUCAACUACGGGUUAUGGACAAAGGAUGAAUGAGUUUUUUUUCUUUUUUGAAUGAUAUGCAAUGCAUGAUGGCGAAUGAAAAUGAAAUGGUAUGUGAAUGUAUGCAAUGCGGGUAUAGUUAGGAACUAGGAUAACAUGACUAACUCAAAACAUACCUACUUAAUUAGGCUUCCCUAUAAUGGACAGUUAUAGUCUUUCAACCCACAAACCACUCAUAUGAUAGAUUUUAGGUUUUGGAUAAGGUUCCCAGAGUCAUGGACAAUAAUCGUAUUUGCGUCAUGCAACAUGCUAGCCACUUUAUGACAAGAGUGACAAAAAGGUCUAUU
This 346-nucleotide long non-coding RNA is filed under the name Lathyrus oleraceus (garden pea). RNAcentral's name for it is "Pisum sativum (pea) long non-coding RNA (PSAT_LNC029129)". The record is from RNAcentral. Lineage: Eukaryota; Viridiplantae; Streptophyta; Magnoliopsida; Fabales; Fabaceae.